Molecule: ribosomal RNA, 434 nt
Filed under: uncultured bacterium
Lineage: Bacteria
Description: partial 16S ribosomal RNA
Rfam family: Bacterial small subunit ribosomal RNA
Source: RNAcentral
AGCGAACGCUGGCGGCAGGCCUAACACAUGCAAGUCGAACGAACCUUUCGGGGUUAGUGGCGGACGGGUGAGUAACACGUGGUAACGUGCCUUUAGGUUCGGAAUAACUCAGGGAAACUUGUGCUAAUACCGAAUGUGCCCUUCGGGGGAAAGAUUAAUCGCCUUUAGAGCGGCCCGCGUCUGAUUAGCUAGUUGGUUGAGGUAAUGGCUCACCAAGGCGACGAUCAGUAGCUGUUCUGAGAGGAUGAUCAGCCACAUUGGGACUGAGACACGGCCCAAACUCCUACGGGAGGCAGCAGUGGGGAAUCUUACGCAAUGAGCGAAAGCCUGACGCAGCCAUGCCGCGUGAAUGAUGAAGGUCUUAGGAUUGUAAAAUUCUUUCACCGGGGACGAUAAUGACGGUACCCGGAGAAGAAGCCCCGGCUAACUUCGUG